RNAcentral lists this ribosomal RNA (482 nucleotides) under uncultured bacterium. RNAcentral's name for it is "partial 16S ribosomal RNA". It matches the Rfam family "Bacterial small subunit ribosomal RNA", at positions 30 to 507 of the family's 1533-position model. The record is from RNAcentral.
AUUGAACGCUGGCGGCAUGCUUUACACAUGCAAGUCGAACGGUAACAGGCCGCAAGGUGCUGACGAGUGGCGCACGGGUGAGUAAUGCAUCGGAACGUGCCCAGUCGUGGGGGAUAACUACUCGAAAGAGUAGCUAAUACCGCAUACGAUCUAUGGAUGAAAGCGGGGGACCGUAAGGCCUCUCGCGAUUGGAGCGGCCGAUGUCAGAUUAGGUAGUUGGUGGGGUAAAGGCUCACCAAGCCAACGAUCUGUAGCUGGUCUGAGAGGACGACCAGCCACACUGGGACUGAGACACGGCCCAGACUCCUACGGGAGGCAGCAGUGGGGAAUUUUGGACAAUGGGCGCAAGCCUGAUCCAGCAAUGCCGCGUGCAGGAAGAAGGCCUUCGGGUUGUAAACUGCUUUUGUACGGAACGAAACGGCUCUGGUUAAUACCCGGGGCUAAUGACGGUACCGUAAGAAUAAGCACCGGCUAACUACGUG